Molecule: ribosomal RNA, 454 nt
Filed under: Microphallus primas
Lineage: Eukaryota; Metazoa; Platyhelminthes; Trematoda; Plagiorchiida; Microphallidae
Description: SSU rRNA
Rfam family: Eukaryotic small subunit ribosomal RNA
Source: RNAcentral
UCCUUUAACGAGGAACAACUGGAGGGCAAGUCUGGUGCCAGCAGCCGCGGUAACUCCAGCUCCAGAAGCGUAUAUUAAAGUUGUUGCAGUUAAAAAGCUCGUAGUUGGAUCUGGGUCGCAUGGCUACGUGCCGUAGCUUGUAUUCCUGGCUCGGCUACGGUUGGGUCGGGUUUGUGAGUCGGUUUCGUGGCUGUGUAGCCUUUCUGCUGUGUCUGUUUCGACAGGUGCCGAUGGUUCUACCGUUGGCAUGCUUCCUGAUGCCUUUAACCGGGUGUCGGGGGCGGACGGCAUGUUUACUUUGAACAAAUUUGAGUGCUCAAAGCAGGCUUAUGCCUGAAAAUUCUUGCAUGGAAUAAUGGAAUAGGACUUCGGUUCUAUUUUGUUGGUUUUCGGAUCCGAAGUAAUGGUUAAGAGGGACAGACGGGGGCAUUUGUAUGGCGGUGUUAGAGGUGAA